Oncorhynchus mykiss (rainbow trout) is the source of this 221-nucleotide non-coding RNA. The record is from RefSeq and is a predicted model, not a curated record. Lineage: Eukaryota; Metazoa; Chordata; Actinopteri; Salmoniformes; Salmonidae.
AAGCAAAGAUGAUUUAUUAUAUUGACAAGAGAGCCGAGUGACCACUCUAUCAAUGGAAAUACAUGUGUUCAACGAAUGAAGACAGGUAGAUCAGGUGGGACCAUUCCAACCAAUGAGAGGGCAGUGACAAUGGUGGAAGAAGGCAGAGUUUUGUGACUGCAGAAACAGACAUGAGGGGUGAUGAAUGGGUGAAGACCGGCUGAUACCAGAUUUGAAGAAAA